This 29-nucleotide non-coding RNA is filed under the name Mus musculus (house mouse). Lineage: Eukaryota; Metazoa; Chordata; Mammalia; Rodentia; Muridae. The record is from RNAcentral.
UCCCAAAUACAUGCAUUGGCAUGAACUGA